AAACCUAUAAGAAUUUUUAGAUAAUAUGACCCCGAAUUAGUAAGAUCAAAAAAGUUAUAUGGUUUUGUAAUUAGGUUAAAUAUGUAGCAUAAUAUAAUUUUAAUAACUUUUUAGAGGAGAUAUUCCAACAGUUAUUAUGAUAGCUGGAUUAAGGGGAAAAGUAUUAAGUACUUAAGACAAUUAUAAAGUGAUAAGAUUUUAUAAUGGAAAUAAGUUGUUUUUAGGUUGACUAGGGUUAAUCCCCUAAAAGUUGGUUAUUCUAACAUAUUUUGAAUGUAGCUUUUUAAAAUUACCUUUAAACUAAAGUUAACUAGAAACUUAAGUUUAUAAUGUUUAAAUUAGUAUUUUGUAUAAAUUUAAUUAAGGAACUCGGCAAAUAUUAUAUUCGACUGUUUAACAAAAACAUAGUCCGUUGUUAUUUAUAAUGGAUAUAUACUGCCCGGUGAUGUAAUUAAACGGCCGCAGUACCAUGACUGUGCGAAGGUAGCAUAAUAAUUUGGCCUUUAAAUGGGGUCUAGAAUGAAAGGAUUUACGAAUAGCAGCUGUCUCUAUCAAAUUAAAAAAAACUUAUUUAAAAGGUGCAAAUACCUUUACUUUAAUAUAAUAGACGAGAAGACCCUUAGAAUUUAAAUUAAAAUAAAUGUUAUAUUUAUUUCGAUUUUGUUGGGGCAACAAAGCAGCAAAUAUUUAAUCUGCUUAUUCGACACUAGGUAUGCCGACUAUUAGUAGGGAUAUAUAAAUUACCUUAGGGAUAACAGCAUAAUUUAAUAAAGAUUGUGACCUCGAUGUUGGAUUAGGGCCAUAGCAAUUUAACCAAUUGAUGUGUUAGUUCUGUUCGAACUUUAUUACCUACAUGAUCUGAGUUCA
Molecule: ribosomal RNA, 867 nt
Filed under: Chondrina calpica calpica
Lineage: Eukaryota; Metazoa; Mollusca; Gastropoda; Stylommatophora; Chondrinidae
Description: partial large subunit ribosomal RNA
Rfam family: Bacterial large subunit ribosomal RNA (bases 351-558)
Source: RNAcentral